GACGAACGCUGGCGGCGUGCUUAACACAUGCAAGUCGAACGAUGAAGCGGUGCUUGCACCGUGGUUUAGUGGCGAACGGGUGAGUAAUACGUGAGUGACCUACCUUUGACUCUGGGAUAAGCCUGGGAAACUGGGUCUAAUACCGGAUACGACCAAUCUCUGCAUGGGGUGUUGGUGGAAAGCGUUAUGGAGUGGUUUUAGAUGGGCUCACGGCCUAUCAGCUUGUUGGUGAGGUAAUGGCUUACCAAGGCGACGACGGGUAGCCGGCCUGAGAGGGUGACCGGCCACACUGGGACUGAGACACGGCCCAGACUCCUACGGGAGGCAGCAGUGGGGAAUAUUGCACAAUGGGCGCAAGCCUGAUGCAGCGACGCCGCGUGAGGGAUGACGGCCUUCGGGUUGUAAACCUCUGUUAGCAUCGAAGAAGCGAAAGUGACGGUAGGUGCAGAGAAAGCGCCGGCUAACUACGUG
RNAcentral lists this ribosomal RNA (471 nucleotides) under uncultured bacterium. Its description in RNAcentral is "partial 16S ribosomal RNA". It matches the Rfam family "Bacterial small subunit ribosomal RNA", at positions 28 to 507 of the family's 1533-position model. The record is from RNAcentral.